AAAUUCAAGUGCAACUUUGCUAUCACCGCUUGCAAUGAAUCCAUUGACUUGUGUUCUCUUUGUUUUUCGCUUUGCGGUUGAACUUAGACAAUGCAAACUCAGCUAGUGAUCAUCCUGAGACAACAGUGUCACUAUAGAAGCACCUCUCCUCUCAUGAUAAUUAAUGGCUAGCAAGGUCAUUGACAUUAUGGCAAGAAUUUGCACAGCUUUGCAAGUCGAGUGAGGAAGCAUCAAAGCAUUGGAAGAACUCUUGGAGUUUGUUCCAUGUUUGUAUUCUGUAUUGGUUCAAAAUUUCUCCACAUCAGUCUUGAGCAUGCAUUGUAAAUCUUUGAUGUGCCUAUUGUGCAAUGUUUUGAAAGCUCUUCUGUGAUUUAUGUAAAGAAAUGAGUUAAUAUAUUGCAACCCUUUUAUUC
Molecule: long non-coding RNA, 413 nt
Organism: Macadamia integrifolia
Lineage: Eukaryota; Viridiplantae; Streptophyta; Magnoliopsida; Proteales; Proteaceae
Exons: 2
Source: RefSeq, a predicted model, not a curated record